AUGGCCAUGGUCGCCUCCACCUCCAUCGCCUACCACAAGCCGCGUUUGUCGGUGGUGUGCAGGAAGAAGGACCGGGAUAGGGAGCUGGAGCGGGAGAAGGAGCACAAGUACCCCUUCAAGGUCGUCGAGAUCACGCCGCCGCCGCGAUGCCUCGGCGUCCGCUGCUUCCCCAUGAACAUCCACUGCGGGGAGAGCGUGACGAUCGAAGGGCAGGCGUACACGGUGUCGGCGGUGACGCACCGGUACCAGCUGCGCAAGGGGCGGUACGAGCCGAGCGAGAAGCGCCUCGACGUCCUCUCCACCGGCAGAUACAUCCUCAACCUCUAUCUCGACAGCCUCCUCGACAAGUCCUAG
Molecule: ribosomal RNA, 354 nt
Filed under: Triticum aestivum (bread wheat)
Lineage: Eukaryota; Viridiplantae; Streptophyta; Magnoliopsida; Poales; Poaceae
Description: partial small subunit ribosomal RNA
Source: RNAcentral